This 212-nucleotide long non-coding RNA is filed under the name Elaeis guineensis (African oil palm). RNAcentral's name for it is "long non-coding RNA (EGUI_LNC071294)". The record is from RNAcentral. Lineage: Eukaryota; Viridiplantae; Streptophyta; Magnoliopsida; Arecales; Arecaceae.
AUUGAGUUCAGACCAUAGUCAAAUGGUAUUGGCUCAAGUGUUGAUCCAAAGUACACCCUUGUAUGAUUCUACUAAUCAUAACUUUUGGCAUAGUUAUAUGAAAGAUAUUACAACUUGAAUAGCAUGUUACAUAGCAUUACAUGAUACAUGAAAAUUAUUUUCAUUCUUUUUAUAUGCAUAUUACAUAUGAUGUAAGUGUUAGGAUGUGUUAG